This 377-nucleotide ribosomal RNA is filed under the name uncultured eukaryote. RNAcentral describes it as "partial 18S ribosomal RNA". It matches the Rfam family "Eukaryotic small subunit ribosomal RNA", at positions 592 to 976 of the family's 1831-position model. The record is from RNAcentral.
CAAUAGCGUAUAUUUAAGGUGCUGCAGUUAAAAAGCUCGUAGUUGGAUUUCGGGUGGGAAUGGCCGGUCCGCCGUUUCGGUGUGCACUUGCUACGCCCACCUUGCUGCCGGGGACGUGCUCUUGAGUUCACGCUCGGGACACGGAGUCGGCGAGGUUACUUUGAGUAAAUUAGAGUGUUCAAAGCAGGCCUACGCUCUGAAUACAUUAGCAUGGAAUAACACGAUAGGACUCUGGCCUAUCUUGUUGGUCUGUAGGACCGGAGUAAUGAUUAAGAGGGACAGUCGGGGGCAUUCGUAUUUCAUUGUCAGAGGUGAAAUUCUUGGAUUUAUGAAAGACGAACUACUGCGAAAGCAUUUGCCAAGGAUGUUUUCAUUAA